CGGCUUAAGGCUACAAAGGGCCCUUGGGCGAAAAUAUUUUUUAGGCCUCUUAACUAAUUAAUUUUGAUAUUAUAAUUAAAAUAUUUUUAAAAACAAUAUUAAAAUUUUAAAACAAAGUAACUAAAUUUAUAAUUUUCGUUUUCAACUUUUAACUUUUAAAAACAUAGAUUUCUAUAUCACUAAAAUAUUGUCAAAAGUUAACAUUAAAAUAUCACAAAUAAAAAUCUGGAUCCUUGUUAUAAAAAUAAAAUAAUAUAUAUGGACCCUUUAUAUUAAUAAAAUUUGAUGGGGUUUAGAUGGGCCAUGGACGGAUGUACUGUUGCCCUGCCCAUUAAGCCGGCCCUGAGCACAACUAUCCUAAAGGUGAUAUAUGCCUUCUGCCACAUGUAUCGCCUGCAACUGCUCUGAUGGUGAGAAAGCAGCUAUUGACCAGAUCACCGGUGGUGAUGACAUCCUCUCACACCCCCCUGGGGUAUGGGAUGCAACAGCCGCUGCUGAGCAGCCCACUUCUGGUGGAAGCAAUGCAGAGGAACAUCUGGUUCCAGCAAGAGGAAACACACCAAAAAUCACAUAUCUCCAUCAAGUUUUAUGAUAUCUGAACCAUGUUCGCUUCUUCCACGAAUAAUAACGUCUAAGCCUAUCAGUGAGACAAAGAAUUUGUUCAGCUCAACUGCACAUAUUUUCCAUUGAGUGUCAAUGUGUCACUGGAUAAAAAAUAUAUUUACCCCGACCUCAGUCUAUUUGAUUAUAUCUCUAAUUCUAUUACCACAUCUAAAUAAGGAUUAAAAAACGAUGUAAUUCAUGUAUGAUCUCUUCUGUGUCCAACGAACUUUCAAUGUAGUAAAAUGUGCUUAUAAUAAUUCAGGAGCAUUAACAGAUUUAACAAUAUAUGUACAUAUAUGUACGCUUUGAACAUGAUGAAACCCUCUCUAUGUACGCCCAUUUCAAAAAUAUUGCAAAUUUAUAACAUAGUUGUCGUUAUGUUUUCGUAAAUAAUCAUGCAAUAUUACUUUCAAAUAUUUGUUAUGCUUUCGUAAUGGUGGUGACCGAGUGGCAUUCUUACUCUAGGCAAAAGCUUAAUACAUUUCCAAUAUAUAUUUGAAAAUAUAGGUGGUACAAAUAAAUCAAAAUAUAUGUAAGACAAGUUGAAGAAAAAACUUCAAAAAAAUAAAUGUUUUAAGACCCUUAAAAAUUAUGAAAUUAUUGGUUCUAAAGCCAAAGUAAAAUUUAAUCCGUAUAUCUUUAACAAUUAUUUUAAUUCAUUAUUUAUUUGUUUUGCUCAUUAUGUUAUACAUAGCUUUUAAUAAUAAAAAUAAAAAGUUGUUUUUUGAAACACCUAAAAAGUAAGCUUUUAUUAUUAAAAAUUUAGGUAGACAAAACAAUGAAAAUAAAUUUAAAAUUGCCUAACGACACAUAUUUUUAUAACACAUAUCUAUAUAUUCAUAUAUAAAAAAUAUAAAUACCUAACAUAUAACAAAAAUUAUAGGAAAAUCCCGGGCGACCGACCCUAG
Long non-coding RNA from Brassica rapa (field mustard), 1511 nucleotides. RefSeq lists it as uncharacterized. The record is from RefSeq and is a predicted model, not a curated record. NCBI's taxonomy places the organism in Eukaryota, Viridiplantae, Streptophyta, Magnoliopsida, Brassicales, Brassicaceae.